GCAUAAUAAAUAGUUUUUUAAUUGAGGACUGGAAUGAAAGGUUGAAAGUAAAAAGGGAUGUUUUAGCUAAUAAUUUUUAAUUUAGAUUUAAAGUAAGAAUACUUUAAUAAAUCUUUGGGACGAGAAGACCCUAGAAGCUUAGAAAUAAAGAUAUAUUUUUAGUUGGGGCAACUUAGUGAAGAUAAAGAUUUUUAAAAUUAGAAAAUUUUAAAUAUAAAAAGUUACUCUAGGGAUAACAGCGUUAUUUAAUUGGUGAGUUCUUAUUAAUAAUUAAGAUUGCGACCUCGAUGUUGAAUUAAAU
Molecule: ribosomal RNA, 301 nt
Filed under: Pachyloides thorellii
Lineage: Eukaryota; Metazoa; Arthropoda; Arachnida; Opiliones; Gonyleptidae
Description: partial 16S ribosomal RNA
Source: RNAcentral